This 497-nucleotide ribosomal RNA is filed under the name uncultured bacterium. RNAcentral's name for it is "partial 16S ribosomal RNA". It matches the Rfam family "Bacterial small subunit ribosomal RNA", at positions 28 to 507 of the family's 1533-position model. The record is from RNAcentral.
GACGAACGCUGGCGGCGUGCCUAAUACAUGCAAGUUGAGCGCUGACGGUUGGUACUUGUACCAACUGGAUGAGCAGCGAACGGGUGAGUAACGCGUGGGGAAUCUGCCUUUGAGUGGGGGACAACAUCUGGAAACGAAUGCUAAUACUGCCUAAAAACUUUAACCACAAGAUUUAAGUUUGAAAGAUACCAUUGCAUCACUCAUAGAUGAUCCCGCGUUUUAUUAGCUAGCUGGGGAGGUAAAAGCCCAGCAAGGCGAUGGUACAUAGCCGGCCUGAAAGGGUGAUCGGCCAAAAUGGGACUGGGACACGGCCCAAACCCCUACGGGAGGCAGCAGUAGGGAAACUUCGGCAAAUGAGGAAAGUCUGGCCGAGCAACGCCGCGGUGGGGGAGAAGGUUUUCGGGUCGUAAAACUCUGUUGGUAGAGAAGAACGAUGGUGAGGGUAAAAAGCUCAUCAAGUGACGGUAACUAACCAGAUAGGGACGGCUAACUACGUG